GCCCAAUGAGUCAAUGACACUAAUAUAAAGUUUUGAUAUACUCCCUCCGUCCCACUAUUGAAGACACACUUUCCUUAUUGGGAUGUCCCAAUAAUAAAGACACACUCCAAAUAAGGAAAGAAUUAGGAGUUAAAUAACACUACUAAUUGCACCUUAAUUCAAGUAUAAAUAAGAAAGAAAAAAAAACCCUAUCUUCAUUCUCACUCUCUCGGCCUCUCCGCCUCUCUCUCUCUCGAAAGUUCUCUCGGCCUCUCCGCCUCUCUCACGCUCUGAAACCCUAAGAUACCGCCGCCCUCAGCCUUCAUCUGCGCCGCCC
Molecule: long non-coding RNA, 316 nt
Filed under: Salvia miltiorrhiza (redroot sage)
Lineage: Eukaryota; Viridiplantae; Streptophyta; Magnoliopsida; Lamiales; Lamiaceae
Description: long non-coding RNA (SMIL_LNC000950)
Source: RNAcentral